UUUAAAAUUGUUCACGUUCGGAUCCCUCUACUUAGCAAAAUUCAAUUUUUACACCCUCUAGUGGACAGAAUUCGGCGAGUGUACCACACUCUCCCUUUCUGUUAAUUAACGGAGUUAGUUUCUGUUUUGAUAGUACACAUCAUCAAGAUAGUCUCUUAAUUUUUGACACGUAAGAAAAAUAAUUUAGAGAAAACGGGCCCACCACUUAGGUUUGAUUCCAACCCACCUCCACUGUCAACCAUACAUGAAGAUCAAUUGAUUCUCACCUCCUCCUCCACCGCCACCAUCUUCACUUCCAUAAUCCGAGCACUGCAUUCUGUCACCGCUCCUUGUAAUUUUCCGACCACAAAUUCAAAUAACACCGCCAUUCCCAUUUCACUCUGUGGCUUCACCUCGUCUCCUUCGUCGUUGCAAUUCCGAUCCACCGCGAUCUCCGUCGCCGCCACUGUCGUUAUUUAUUUUCAUUAGUUUCAAUAUCUUGGUAUGAAAUUUCUGACUCUAGGAGAAUCCACAUCGCGUCUCCAUUAUUAGUUUCUGAUUAUUAUUUCGAUUCUUUGGAUUGACUGCAAAAUGAUUGAUUUACUCCGCAAAGCUGCUUGAGGUGUACGAUAGUGUCUUAAAAGAUAAGCACUUAUUAUCGUGUAAUGUAGAUAAAGUUGAAUUUUAGAUGCUUUAUGAUUAAUUAGAAAGAAAUGGUUGAACAGAGCAAGGAAGCAGAUGGACAUACAAAAGAUGAGGUAUUCAUGGAAUGUGGCAAGUGAAGUAUUAAGAAUCCAUCCAUCCAUCAGCUAAUGGAGCUUUCAUAGAGGUCAUUGCCGACUUCAACUAUUCUGGAUGUCUAAUUCUUAAGAGAUGGAAGAGGUUUUUGUUGUGGUGGUGGAUCGAAGGACGAGGCGUGACCGGACAGAGAUCGGUGAUUUAUCGAGCGGAGACUUACAAAAAAAGACCUCACCUACCGUUGAAAAUGAGAAAGAAAGGAAUGAAAGGGGAAGAUGACUAGUCAGCAUAUGUUUUGCCUUAAAAUUACCAUGUCACCACUAAAAGAAAAAAAUAAUUGCCAUGUCAUUAUUUACCAAAAAUAAAUGAACAUCAUGUCACUUUCUUUUUUUCUCCA
Molecule: long non-coding RNA, 1114 nt
Organism: Mercurialis annua (annual mercury)
Lineage: Eukaryota; Viridiplantae; Streptophyta; Magnoliopsida; Malpighiales; Euphorbiaceae
Exons: 2
Source: RefSeq, a predicted model, not a curated record